This 498-nucleotide ribosomal RNA is filed under the name uncultured bacterium. Its description in RNAcentral is "partial 16S ribosomal RNA". It matches the Rfam family "Bacterial small subunit ribosomal RNA", at positions 28 to 508 of the family's 1533-position model. The record is from RNAcentral.
GAUGAACGCUGGCGGCGUGCCUAAUACAUGCAAGUCGAGCGAACAGACGAGGAGCUUGCUCCUCUGACGUUAGCGGCGGACGGGUGAGUAACACGUGGAUAACCUACCUAUAAGACUGGGAUAACUUCGGGAAACCGGAGCUAAUACCGGAUAAUAUAUUGAACCGCAUGGUUCAAUAGUGAAAGACGGUUUUGCUGUCACUUAUAGAUGGAUCCGCGCCGCAUUAGCUAGUUGGUAAGGUAACGGCUUACCAAGGCAACGAUGCGUAGCCGACCUGAGAGGGUGAUCGGCCACACUGGAACUGAGACACGGUCCAGACUCCUACGGGAGGCAGCAGUAGGGAAUCUUCCGCAAUGGGCGAAAGCUUGACGGAGCAACGCCGCGUGAGUGAUGAAGGGCUUCGGAUCGUAAAACUCUGUUAUUAGGGAAGAACAAAUGUGUAAGUAACUAUGCACGUCUUGACGGUACCUAAUCAGAAAGCCACGGCUAACUACGUGC